CUCUCUCCCGCCUGGGUACUUAUCCAUGGGUCCUCGCCUCCUUUUCAUACGUGCUUGUUUCACGAAGUUGAUCCGGGUUGACCUAUUGGGAGUUUGAGACAGGCAGCUGCCGUGGUUUAAUCUGUUCGGGACACACAUGCCUGACUUGAGGCUCGUGCAUGCCAUAGAACAGAUUGGCAUAUAGCGUCUGUACUUUUGCUAUCACCCGUCUUUUUUGGGUUCACAUACAACCCAUUAACAGUCGCGUAAGGAGCGUACGCCCUCUCGCGAUGUCAACGUGGGCACAAGGGACUGGGCUGAUUUUCUCGUUUUGUUUUAUGAUUUUUCCUGCUCGUUUUGUCGUCGCAAAAAAACCCUAGCCCAUUCCCGUCCGCAUCCCUGCUGCCGCCGCCGCCGCCCUUCCAAUUCCCUCUGCUCCUGCUGCUUCCCUCCACCUCUCCCUCAUCCACGCCGUCAGGGGCGCCCCUCAAGCCCCACCUCGUCGGUUCCCCACCUGGGCUCCUUCUCCCCCACCCCGGGCGAGCACCGGACAGGCAGAGGGAGUGCCUUGGUCGAGGGACAACGAGGCUCGCCGGCUGGGCGACUUCGAGCGCUGGAGGCUAGACAGGCAGAGGCAGGGGCGGAUCCAUGUGGGGGCAUGGGUGCCGUCGCGCCAUCAAAGGCCUCCACGGCGCCCUCUACCAGGUCACCUCUCUCCAAGAUCUCCUUUUUACCCAUGUUUUUACCACUCUCCAAGCUCGCACUAUUGCUCCGGAAAAUUCCCUUUGGAAUUGGGGAUGAGGCAAAUCGAUUUCGAUUGAUUGGCGCCACGCAGACGACGGGCGUGGGACGGUGCAGGAGGCGUGCCGCGUUUGAGAGCCACUGUGGAUUAUCUUCGAGGUGUCAGGCGACAUUCGCCUCGAGACCUACCUCCGGGUCUCUUCCCACAUGACCAUUGACGGGCGCGGGUAGCGGGUCAGGCUCACCGACAAGGCGCCGCUUGCCUCUGAACUUGUGAUGUCCGGCCAUUGCAUCUGGGAGGAGCUCCUCUUCAGGAAGAAUGCCGAGACGUACGACACUGCUGCGACUGUCGUUCUCGUCCGCGUUUUGACUACACUUCCAGGCAACUGCGAAGGCAAAAUCUACAUGUGAGAAGUGCAGAUGAGCCCCGCUGUGCUAAUUACCCGUAUUCUGAAUUGGCUGCUGAAGUACAUAAGUGAAGUCUAUUGGUGAAGGAGAUGUGAAGAAUGAUAUAGAGCAAGUAGAUAAAAACCGCAGUUGUUGGCCCAAGUUUUACAUGAGUAUUCCUACAUAUAGGAUAAUACCCUUCUGGUGCUAAUCAAGGAUUUGAUAUUCCGUUAGCUUUGGUUAACCUGCCUGAGUUAGUGCCUACACGAGGAGCUGAACAAAAAUGCAAUGGGGGGAGCCCAUCUUAGAAUUGUUUUCCCUUUUCUCGCAAUAGCUUUCAUUUUGCAGUAUAUUAGCUAAUUCUGCGCAGGAUGAUUACAUAUGCAACAUUUGUAAAGGAGUAGACUUGUUAAAAGUUUCAACUAAUAUUAUAUGAUGCCUGCUGGAUUAUUUUCUUGUCAAACUGAAAUUUAAAUGUCCCAAUACUAUGUUCUAUUCCAAUUUCAAACUAAUUUCCUUGUUGUGGGUUGCAUACACGAACUGUAAUGCAUUUCAUUUGUGUUAAAUAAUACGAGUACGAAUAAACACUUGCUAAUGGAGCAAACCAGCCAAGUGAAUGCUUCUUGUUAUAACCAGUUCAUCCAAUGGAGCGUGCAUACCGGUUACAUGCAUAUCCAUGUUCCAUACACAAUGCAAAGCAAGACUGCAAACACACUAACAAAUCCGACAGAAAGAUAAGUGCGCUCAAUCACGCAGAGGAGGCGCGCCCAGGGCACGCCCCAACCACUAGUUAUCCAUUGUUGAUGUGUGCUUUAGGGUGUGAUCCGGGUUGCCUCCAGCCGGCAACACUUCCAAGUAUCGGCACCACUUGUUGAUCAAAGACGCUGGCCAUCCUCUGAAUACUGACUUAGAUUACGUGCAACAUCUUGGUGGAGACACCCCUUUGAAAAGAGAUGCUAACCUGGCCUUACAAGAUUUACAUUAUCGCCCAAAUCAAGUCAGGGCUUUUCUGGAAUUCUUGAUUUUAGGGGCGGCACCUACAAGCCGUACCUGACGUGAAAUCAACAUGAGCUCCAAAAUACGAGCCGAACGAAAUAGCAGCGAGAAGCUAGGAUCGACCGCAGUGCAAAACCGUGAAGCAGACUCGGCCCAGCUCCAUCGAUCCGGAAAGCUGAAGUUGGCAGAUAUUACAAGUGAACUGCCACCGCCAAGUCAUACGAGCCGAACCGGUACGCUCGAUCUGUUUGAUCGCUCCUUAUUCCUUCGCUCGUGCUCCCUCGCUGCUCCUCUACAAGGCCGAUUUGGGCUGCCUCCAGUCGGCCCAACUAGCCCGAACAGGCCACAGCCCUCCAGCUGGGCUGUAGUGCCGCGAGAAGCUGCAAACCGAGGCGAACAGAUUUUUCAUCGCUGCAUGGAGUGAGAAGCUACUCUGAGAAGCUGAAUUUGUGAAGUUUUGGGAAGCUAGAGGAGAUCAGAACAGGCCCAUAGUGUGCUCUUUCUGCAGAACAUUCUAUUGUAUACGUGUCGGGAAAAUGCUUCUUGCACAACAAGGGAAAUAAAUAUUCCCCACAAAAAAACAAGGAAAUAAAUUUGACAAUGACCGCAUGUAAUUUUAUUUUUAUGAUAACAUGUUUAGGCCACCAGGAUUUCAUCAAUCACUAAAUUAUGGU
This is a long non-coding RNA of Triticum aestivum (bread wheat), 2777 nucleotides long. RefSeq lists it as uncharacterized. The record is from RefSeq and is a predicted model, not a curated record. The transcript has 7 exons. NCBI's taxonomy places the organism in Eukaryota, Viridiplantae, Streptophyta, Magnoliopsida, Poales, Poaceae.